AGUGAACGCUGGCGGUAGGCCUAACACAUGCAAGUCGAACGGCAGCACAGUAAGAGCUUGCUCUUACGGGUGGCGAGUGGCGGACGGGUGAGGAAUACAUCGGAAUCUACUUUUUCGUGGGGGAUAACGUAGGGAAACUUACGCUAAUACCGCAUACGACCUACGGGUGAAAGCAGGGGAUCUUCGGACCUUGCGCGAUUGAAUGAGCCGAUGUCGGAUUAGCUAGUUGGCGGGGUAAAGGCCCACCAAGGCGACGAUCCGUAGCUGGUCUGAGAGGAUGAUCAGCCACACUGGAACUGAGACACGGUCCAGACUCCUACGGGAGGCGGCAGUGGGGAAUAUUGGACAAUGGGCGCAAGCCUGAUCCAGCCAUACCGCGUGGGUGAAGAAGGCCUUCGGGUUGUAAAGCCCUUUUGUUGGGAAAGAAAAGCAGCAGGUUAAUACCCCGCUGUUCUGACGGUACCCAAAGAAUAAGCACCGGCUAACUACGUG
This 492-nucleotide ribosomal RNA is filed under the name uncultured bacterium. RNAcentral describes it as "partial 16S ribosomal RNA". It matches the Rfam family "Bacterial small subunit ribosomal RNA", at positions 29 to 507 of the family's 1533-position model. The record is from RNAcentral.